GGAAUUUGUAGAACAUUAAAGUAUUUUCAUGUGAAAACUGUCCAAAAUUUACAAAUGCACGCACUUAAUUAUUUUGUUGCCAUUCUAGUCACUCUGUACAACUGUUAUCUAAUUAUUCAUGCUUUCAACAAAAAGACAAUUGCUCGACACGUCGCCCUAUUCUGAAAGAACCUCACAAGAAAAAAGCACAAAACACUCACCACAUGAGUUGAAAAGCACUUUGCUGAAGAAAUGGAACACCAAGAAAAGAUUUCAAAAUGUGAAAGAACAACUUAGGAGCAGUUGCUGCAUUAUAGUAUAUAAUUGAAACUUAAAUAUAUUUUUAUUCGCACAUGUAUUAAAUAAUACAUAUGUACAUACAUAUUUACAAAUAAAAU
This is a long non-coding RNA of Bactrocera tryoni, 377 nucleotides long. RefSeq lists it as uncharacterized. The record is from RefSeq and is a predicted model, not a curated record. The transcript is spliced from 3 exons. NCBI's taxonomy places the organism in Eukaryota, Metazoa, Arthropoda, Insecta, Diptera, Tephritidae.